Molecule: ribosomal RNA, 481 nt
Filed under: uncultured bacterium
Lineage: Bacteria
Description: bacterial SSU rRNA
Rfam family: Bacterial small subunit ribosomal RNA
Source: RNAcentral
GACGAACGCUGGCGGCGUGCUUAACACAUGCAAGUCGAACGGUGACGAGGAGCUUGCUCCUCCGAUCAGUGGCGAACGGGUGAGUAACACGUGAGUAACCUGCCCCAGACCCUGGGAUAACAGUUGGAAACAGCUGCUAAUACCGGAUACGAGACGGAGAGGCAUCUCUACCGUCUGGAAAGAUUUAUCGGUCUGGGAUGGACUCGCGGCCUAUCAGCUUGUUGGUGAGGUAAAGGCUCACCAAGGCGACGACGGGUAGCCGGCCUGAGAGGGCGACCGGCCACACUGGGACUGAGACACGGCCCAGACUCCUACGGGAGGCAGCAGUGGGGAAUAUUGCACAAUGGGCGAAAGCCUGAUGCAGCGACGCCGCGUGAACGAUGAAUCCCUUCGGGGUGUAAAGUUCUUUUAUAUGUGAGCAGUGCUUCUUAUAUUAACAGUAUGGGGAGAGAGAUAUUAGCAUAAUGAAUAAGCAACGGCU